CAGACUGGAUUAUUUACAGAUCACUGCCAUAUAAAAUGUAGUGGUGGUUCGAUUAGUUGAAAUAAUCGAAGAUUGGUCGCAAUGACUAAACGACCGAGCAAUCGAUCAUGUUUUCU
Haliotis rubra (blacklip abalone) is the source of this 116-nucleotide long non-coding RNA. RefSeq lists it as uncharacterized. The record is from RefSeq and is a predicted model, not a curated record. The transcript is spliced from 3 exons. NCBI's taxonomy places the organism in Eukaryota, Metazoa, Mollusca, Gastropoda, Lepetellida, Haliotidae.